AAAGCCUAACAUGUAUGCUUUAAUAAAAGCGGUGUAUUCUCUUUGAAGUCCACAAAGCAGAAAGUGCCUUGGUUUUACAUGGUACUUGACGUACACCUCUAUCAAAGCAGCAUUCUCAAAAAGGCCUGCCUGGGUACUGACAGAUAUAGUACACCCUGGCUUAACUCUGAGCUGAAUUUGAGCUGUGACCUUCUGACCGUAAGCCAAGAGUGCUACCUAACCAGAUGUCAACACUUUAAUUAACUAUUGGAUCUACGUUUCCACAACUGUAAAGGGAAACCAGAAUAAAGUAGUGUUUAAUGAUUAAUGAACAUGCUGUUUUUGCGAUUGUCAAACAAUAGCACUGCAAGAUGCAAGGUUGGUCUGACUGAAGACGCAGGGCUCAAAAGAGGAAAAGACGGUAUCUAUCACCGCCCCCGCAAAAGUUGAAUACAAUUUCCCUGCAGGAGUACAGAACUUUUUUUUGUGUGUGUGUUGUGGGCACAGUAAUAAUCGUACAUAGAACCGAAGAUUGAAACACUGGGAGGAUUCAGGGACCAUCACUUUAUGGUCUGAUAUCAAUGGACCUUUUUUUUACCUUUUUUAUUUUUGUAAAAUCGAAUGUUUUUGAAUGGGGUGAUAAUAAAACAAAACACUGUAAAAUAUCCUCAGGGAUAAAGAAAAUGUCACUAGGAUUGAUUGAGGUCAAAAGAUACAUCCUUAGGGUGCUGGACUACAGUGUUGAACCAGAUCUGGCUGAACAUCACAUUAAUAAAUACUGUAGUUGCUGUCUCUGGUUACAGAGUUGUGUCUCCAGAGAUACAAAAGAUGAGCCUCCACUUUCACACCAACUUUGAGGAUGCAAUAUUUGCUGAAACAGAACUGUACCAGAGGCCGAAAAGCCAGAAUAGACAGGACAUAUAAACUAGAAAGGAAGGAUGGAGAAGUCAUCAAAAGGGGAGACAAAAUUGGCAACAACUGAGGUUAGCUCACCGCCACCACCCCAGAGCUGACUCGGGAGCGGCGAAAACGAACACAUGCUGUCCUCCGAAGUGUGUGCCGUUAGCCACCCACUGUUUUACACA
This is a long non-coding RNA of Polyodon spathula (Mississippi paddlefish), 1064 nucleotides long. RefSeq lists it as uncharacterized. The record is from RefSeq and is a predicted model, not a curated record. The transcript is spliced from 3 exons. NCBI's taxonomy places the organism in Eukaryota, Metazoa, Chordata, Actinopteri, Acipenseriformes, Polyodontidae.